RNAcentral lists this long non-coding RNA (972 nucleotides) under Triticum aestivum (bread wheat). RNAcentral describes it as "long non-coding RNA (TAES_LNC012370)". Lineage: Eukaryota; Viridiplantae; Streptophyta; Magnoliopsida; Poales; Poaceae. The record is from RNAcentral.
CAUUCCCUCACUGGUUGAGCUCAAGGCCACCUUGCUUGGUCUCCGGCAGUCCAGCCCAUCCAAUACGGCCGGUCCGCUCCCCAGCAAGGCGGUUCCUUGAGUCCGCAACAUACCAUGCUCAAGCCUCCACCACCUAGACUCCUCAAGGCGUAAGCUUUAUUUUUCGUUUAUACAGAAGAUGCAAGAUUCUCCUACUGCCAUAUAAGUAGCACAUAUAGUUGCAGUAGACAAGGAGCUCGGCUUUGGAUUAUAGACUAGCUAAAAAAUAUUUCAAACAAAUUACUCACUCAGCAGCAUCUUAAAUAGUACAUAGUAUUUUGAUUUUGUCUGUACACAUAUUGCCCUUCCUGUAUGAUGCUCCUGUAAUAGAUUAUGCUUACAGUACAUAACUCAGUUUACUUUUAGUUUGUAAAUUAAAUUAAUCAACUUUGUGCACCUGUAAUUCAGUAUGAUAGCUUAUGUUUGUUUCUUUUUCCAUAGUAGUAGGAUACUUGCAAAUAUAUUCAUCACAAUCAGGGGCAUGUACAACUAUAUUUAGGUUGCAGAUACACUCAGAGCAGAACCUGCCCAGUUCUGAAGAAGCUAAAUGAUCUCGUUUAUGUGAUGUUCAGCAAGAGACUGGACUCAGAAGUAUAAUAGUUUAUAAUUUAUUGUUGGGCCAAAAUUAUGUCAUGGUUUAUAUAGAUGCAUCAAUUCUUCAAGUAGCUCACUACUUGAUUCGGUUAUGAGAAUAACAACUGCAGAUAGAGUAAUUAAUCUUGCUUCUUUGCUACAUGAAUAACUUCAUUAUGGGUUGUGUUGUCUGAGGUAAAUUGAUACUACCUACUAUAGGAAAUUCCAGAUGCAUUAUGACGGGAGUGGCGAAGCCGGAGGGGCUAAGAUAUCCUCGACAUGGGUGCUCGACGGCACGCUGUAGACCAGGAGGAGGAUCUCCUGGUGGAGCUUGGCAGAAGCAAGACACUUGGAUGUAAC